CCUUCGAUAACUCAGUUGAUAGAGCGGUGGACUGUAGAUCCAUAGGUCGCUGGUUCAAAUCCGGCUCGAAGGA
This 73-nucleotide transfer RNA is filed under the name Diabrotica virgifera virgifera (western corn rootworm). RNAcentral describes it as "transfer RNA tyrosine (anticodon GUA)". It matches the Rfam family "tRNA". From Rfam's summary of the family: Transfer RNA (tRNA) molecules are approximately 80 nucleotides in length. Their secondary structure includes four short double-helical elements and three loops (D, anti-codon, and T loops). Lineage: Eukaryota; Metazoa; Arthropoda; Insecta; Coleoptera; Chrysomelidae. The record is from RNAcentral.